RNAcentral lists this RNase P RNA (419 nucleotides) under uncultured Gellertiella sp. RNAcentral's name for it is "Bacterial RNase P class A". It matches the Rfam family "Bacterial RNase P class A". Rfam says of the family: Ribonuclease P (RNase P) is a ubiquitous endoribonuclease, found in archaea, bacteria and eukarya as well as chloroplasts and mitochondria. Its best characterised activity is the generation of mature 5'-ends of tRNAs by cleaving the 5'-leader elements of precursor-tRNAs. Lineage: Bacteria; Pseudomonadati; Pseudomonadota; Alphaproteobacteria; Hyphomicrobiales; Rhizobiaceae. The record is from RNAcentral.
AGUCGGCCGGGCAGCCGCGCUUCAUCAAUGCCGAAAGGCGAUGGGGUGAGGAAAGUCCGGGCUCCACGGAAAAACGGUGCCGGAUAACGUCCGGCGGGGGCGACCCCAGGGACAGUGCCACAGAAAACAGACCGCCCCGCCUUCCUUUUUCUCCUGCCGGAGGGAAAGGGUGGCGGGGCAAGGGUGAAAAGGUGGGGUAAGAGCCCACCGCGGACCUGGCAACAGGGACGGCAUGGUAAACCCCACCGGGAGCAAGACCGAAUAGGGAUGACACGCGGCCGCGCAAGCGGCCCAGCCCGUUUUCCGGGGUCGUCAUCCGGGUGGGUUGCGAGAGGCCAUGCGCAAGCGUGGUCCCAGAUGAAUGGCUGCCACGUUCCGCGCAAGCGGGGCCAUACAGAACCCGGCUUACAGGCCGACUG